This 238-nucleotide long non-coding RNA is filed under the name Elaeis guineensis (African oil palm). RNAcentral's name for it is "long non-coding RNA (EGUI_LNC008542)". The record is from RNAcentral. Lineage: Eukaryota; Viridiplantae; Streptophyta; Magnoliopsida; Arecales; Arecaceae.
AGUUUAUAACAACCUGUAUUACACAACAUAAGUUUAUAACAACAUAAAUUACACAACAUGAGUUUAUAACAACCUAAUUAAAAGCAAACCAAGUUACAUAACAUGAAGUAGCAUAUCAUCUUUCACUAUUUUAGAUCAUAUCAUGUUGAGACCACUUACAGACGAGUUACACAACAUGAACCAGUCUCCUAACAUAAACCAAUUACAUAACAUGAAGCAAUAUGAACCUAUUACACAC